This 383-nucleotide ribosomal RNA is filed under the name uncultured bacterium. RNAcentral describes it as "bacterial SSU rRNA". It matches the Rfam family "Bacterial small subunit ribosomal RNA", at positions 29 to 412 of the family's 1533-position model. The record is from RNAcentral.
AUUGAACGCUGGCGGAAUGCUUUACACAUGCAAGUCGAGCGGCAGCGCGGGGGCAACCCUGGCGGCGAGCGGCGAACGGGUGAGUAACAGUAUCGGAACGUACCCCGUCGUGGGGGAUAACACAGCGAAAGCUGUGCUAAUACCGCAUACGACCUGAGGGUGAAAGCGGGGGAUCGCAAGACCUCGCGCGAUGGGAGCGGCCGAUAUCGGAUUAGCUUGUUGGUGAGGUAAAGGCUCACCAAGGCGACGAUCCGUAGCUGGUCUGAGAGGACGACCAGCCACACUGGAACUGAGACACGGUCCAGACUCCUACGGGAGGCAGCAGUGGGGAAUUUUGGACAAUGGGGGCAACCCUGAUCCAGCCAUUCCGCGUGAGUGAAGAA